This 495-nucleotide ribosomal RNA is filed under the name uncultured bacterium. RNAcentral describes it as "partial 16S ribosomal RNA". It matches the Rfam family "Bacterial small subunit ribosomal RNA", at positions 28 to 507 of the family's 1533-position model. The record is from RNAcentral.
GACGAACGCUGGCGGCGUGCCUAAUACAUGCAAGUAGAACGCUGAAGGAGGAGCUUGCUUCUCUGGAUGAGUUGCGAACGGGUGAGUAACGCGUAGGUAACCUGCCUGGUAGCGGGGGAUAACUAUUGGAAACGAUAGCUAAUACCGCAUAAGAGUAGAUGUUGCAUGACAUUUGCUUAAAAGGUGCAAUUGCAUCACUACCAGAUGGACCUGCGUUGUAUUAGCUAGUUGGUGAGGUAACGGCUCACCAAGGCGACGAUACAUAGCCGACCUGAGAGGGUGAUCGGCCACACUGGGACUGAGACACGGCCCAGACUCCUACGGGAGGCAGCAGUAGGGAAUUUUCGGCAAUGGACGGAAGUCUGACCGAGCAACGCCGCGUGAGUGAAGAAGGUUUUCGGAUCGUAAAGCUCUGUUGUAAGAGAAGAACGAGUGUGAGAGUGGAAAGUUCACACUGUGACGGUAUCUUACCAGAAAGGGACGGCUAACUACGUG